Molecule: non-coding RNA, 136 nt
Organism: Pelobates cultripes (western spadefoot toad)
Lineage: Eukaryota; Metazoa; Chordata; Amphibia; Anura; Pelobatidae
Source: the annotation of a GenBank genome assembly
GUGCACAGAGAACACCCCAAGCAUGCUCUGUAGCUCCCUUGGUUUUUAUUCUGUGCUAAAUUGAUAUCUGUCCUUUUACCUCUGCGUCCAGAUGAGUUUUUAUUCUUCUGCACGUAUUCAGAAGUACAGUACAUUG